Long non-coding RNA from Neofelis nebulosa (Clouded leopard), 1138 nucleotides. RefSeq lists it as uncharacterized. Lineage: Eukaryota; Metazoa; Chordata; Mammalia; Carnivora; Felidae. The record is from RefSeq and is a predicted model, not a curated record. The transcript has 4 exons.
UGAUGCUGUUUGCAGAAGGGAGGAGUGAGGCCACAGAAGGUGGGGGCAGAGACACUCAGCAGAGCCCGCAGGACAGUGGAGACAGACCCACGGACAGGAAGCAGGUUUCUGUUUAUAAACGGACUACGGACCUGGGUAUCCAGACAGAGGCAAGGCCAUGGGGAGUGAUGUUCUCAAACCCAAAGACACAAAGACUGACAGGCAGACAGAGGGUCCCAUCCGUACCCACGAAGUCCCCGCAUCAAGUUCCUUCUCCGAAAGACCUGGGGCAGCCCUGCCCAGAGCUGGGAAGUGCCCAGUAACCCACCUCUCCCGCUGUUCCUUGUAGGCCGUGUCCACUAGCCGCUUGGCCUCCUCCAUGCAGGUCAGCACCACCGAGGUCUCCACCGCCUCCGGGACAGCUGUCCAGAACAGGAGUCACAUAAGUCAGGAAUGGGCCCCAGAGCCGGGGUGGCCUGCGCUGAGGAAAGGGAUCCUUGGGACUCACAACCACCCCCAACACACCACCUUUUCCCCUUCUUUCUGCCUGUUACCUGGACCGGCACCCUCAGAGGGCUGGGGCACCACCAGAACGGCCAGGAGGAGCCCUGCAAGCGCCAGCAGCAGCUUCAUCUCUGCAACAAGACCCCAAGCCCAUACGCUGGCCCUUGGCAGCCCCCCCAUUCUUGGCGAAGGCUAAAGGGACAGGAAAUCUGGCUGAAGACCGUUGGAUUUCACAGGAAAGCCUGGGGGCUACAGGCUCAGGACCAAGGCAAAGCAGAAUUAACAUGAGCUACAGGACCCAUCGGCCAAAUCUGACUAUGGAGAUGUCACGGAAAUGAGACACAAAAGUGAAAUUGUUGGAGAAGAGAAAAUAAAAAGAGCUGAACCCCGCCGCAACUCCAAACACCCGGCCCUGCCACCAGGGGCUCGGGAAGCUGCCACACCGUCUUCUGUGGAAAAGAAACUCAAGAGCUGCUUGGUGUUCGUGUCCAUUGGUUUUGCCCCAGUCACCCUCGGAUGUAACUUCUGAGUUCCGAAGUCAAGUGCAAAGCCCAGCACGACCCGCCCCUCGAGGAGCCCUUUGCCCCAGUUAGAGCCCAGCAUGGAUUUUGUGAAAAUAGACUUUAUUAUAAUAAAAUGUGUUUUUAAACAAAUA